CUUGACGAUCAUAGAGCGUUGGAACCACCUGAUCCCUUCCCGAACUCAGAAGUGAAACGACGCAUCGCCGAUGGUAGUAACCAGUACUAAUUGCCCGUGAGGC
This 103-nucleotide ribosomal RNA is filed under the name Pseudomonas aeruginosa. Lineage: Bacteria; Pseudomonadati; Pseudomonadota; Gammaproteobacteria; Pseudomonadales; Pseudomonadaceae. The record is from RNAcentral.